This 23-nucleotide non-coding RNA is filed under the name Arabidopsis thaliana (thale cress). Lineage: Eukaryota; Viridiplantae; Streptophyta; Magnoliopsida; Brassicales; Brassicaceae. The record is from RNAcentral.
AGGAGAAGUUGUCCCGGCCGCAA